GUGAACACGGAGCUUGCUCUGUGGGAUCAGUGGCGAACGGGUGAGUAACACGUGAGCAACCUGCCCCUGACUCUGGGAUAAGCGCUGGAAACGGCGUCUAAUACUGGAUAUGUGACGUGACCGCAUGGUCUGCGUCUGGAAAGAUUUUUCGGUUGGGGAUGGGCUCGCGGCCUAUCAGCUUGUUGGUGAGGUAAUGGCUCACCAAGGCGUCGACGGGUAGCCGGCCUGAGAGGGUGACCGGCCACACUGGGACUGAGACACGGCCCAGACUCCUACGGGAGGCAGCAGUGGGGAAUAUUGCACAAUGGGCGCAAGCCUGAUGCAGCAACGCCGCGUGAGGGAUGACGGCCUUCGGGUUGUAAACCUCUUUUAGCAGGGAAGAAGCGAAAGUGACGGUACCUGCAGAAAAAGCGCCGGCUAACUACGUGCCAGCAGCCGCGGUAAUACGUAGGGCGCAAGCGUUAUCCGGAAUUAUUGGGCGUAAAGAGCUCGUAGGCGGUUUGUCGCGUCUGCUGUG
This 517-nucleotide ribosomal RNA is filed under the name Microbacterium sp. Its description in RNAcentral is "bacterial SSU rRNA". It matches the Rfam family "Bacterial small subunit ribosomal RNA", at positions 68 to 596 of the family's 1533-position model. The record is from RNAcentral. Lineage: Bacteria; Bacillati; Actinomycetota; Actinomycetes; Micrococcales; Microbacteriaceae.